GACGAACGCUGGCGGCGUGCUUAACACAUGCAAGUCGAACGGAAAGGCCCUGCUUUUGUGGGGUGCUCGAGUGGCGAACGGGUGAGUAGCACGUGAGUAACCUGCCCUUGACUUUGGGAUAACUUCAGGAAACUGGGGCUAAUACCGGAUAGGAGCUCCUGCUGCAUGGUGGGGGUUGGAAAGUUUCGGCGGUUGGGGAUGGACUCGCGGCUUAUCAGCUUGUUGGUGGGGUAGUGGCUUACCAAGGCUUUGACGGGCAGCCGGCCUGAGAGGGUGACCGGCCACAUUGGGACUGAGAUACGGCCCAGACUCCUACGGGAGGCAGCAGUGGGGAAUAUUGCACCAUGGGCGGAAGCCUGAUGCCGCAACGCCGCGUGCGGGAUGACGGCCUUCGGGUUGUAAACCGCUUUCGCCUGUGACGAAGCGUGAGUGACGGUAAUGGGUAAAGAAGCACCGGCUAACUACGUG
Molecule: ribosomal RNA, 468 nt
Filed under: uncultured bacterium
Lineage: Bacteria
Description: partial 16S ribosomal RNA
Rfam family: Bacterial small subunit ribosomal RNA
Source: RNAcentral